UUCAACGAAAGGGCACAAGCAACCAGA
This 27-nucleotide non-coding RNA is filed under the name Drosophila melanogaster (fruit fly). Lineage: Eukaryota; Metazoa; Arthropoda; Insecta; Diptera; Drosophilidae. The record is from RNAcentral.